Long non-coding RNA from Oncorhynchus keta (chum salmon), 460 nucleotides. RefSeq lists it as uncharacterized. The transcript has 3 exons. NCBI's taxonomy places the organism in Eukaryota, Metazoa, Chordata, Actinopteri, Salmoniformes, Salmonidae. The record is from RefSeq and is a predicted model, not a curated record.
AGCAUUUCACUGUAAGGUCUACUACACCUGUUUUAUUCAGCAUUUCACUGUAAGGUCUACUACACCUGUUGUAUUCAGCAUUUCACUGUAAGGUCUACUACACCUGUUGUAUUCAGCAUUUCACUGUAAGGUCUACUACACCUGUUGUAUUCAGCAUUUCACUGUGAGGUCUACUACACCUGUUGUAUUCAGCAUUUCACUGUGAGGUCUACUACAUCUGUUGUAUUCAGCAUUUCACUGUGAGGUCUACUACACCUGUUGUAUUCAGCAUUUCACUGUAAGGUCUACUACACCUGUUGUAUUCAGCAUUUCACUGUAAGGUCUACUACACCUGUUGUAUUCAGCAUUUCACUGUGAGGUCUACUACACCUGUUGUAUUCAGCAUUUCACUGUAAGGUCUACUACACCUGUUGUAUUCAGCAUUUCACUGUAAGGUCUACUACACCUGUUGUAUUCAGCA